Molecule: ribosomal RNA, 503 nt
Filed under: uncultured bacterium
Lineage: Bacteria
Description: bacterial SSU rRNA
Rfam family: Bacterial small subunit ribosomal RNA
Source: RNAcentral
UGGCGGCGUGCCUAAUACAUGCAAGUCGAGCGCAGGAACAAGUAGAUCCCUUCGGGGUGACGCUUGUGGAAUGAGCGGCGGACGGGUGAGUAACACGUGGGCAACCUACCUUGUAGACUGGGAUAACUCCGGGAAACCGGAGCUAAUACGGGAUGAUCAUUUGAAUCGCAUGAUUGAAAUGUAAAAGUGGGGAGUAAUCCUCACACUAUGAGAUGGGCCCGCGGCGCAUUAGCUAGUUGGUAAGGUAAUGGCUUACCAAGGCAACGAUGCGUAGCCGACCUGAGAGGGUGAUCGGCCACACUGGAACUGAGACACGGUCCAGACUCCUACGGGAGGCAGCAGUAGGGAAUCAUCCGCAAUGGGCGAAAGCCUGACGGUGCAACGCCGCGUGAACGAUGAAGGUUUUCGGAUCGUAAAGUUCUGUUAUGAGGGAAGAACAAGUGCCGUUCGAAUAGGGCGGCACCUUGACGGUACCUCACGAGAAAGCCCCGGCUAACUACGUG